Molecule: non-coding RNA, 55 nt
Organism: Erwinia tasmaniensis
Lineage: Bacteria; Pseudomonadati; Pseudomonadota; Gammaproteobacteria; Enterobacterales; Erwiniaceae
Source: Rfam
CCCCACACUGACGUGUGGGGCCGUCUUUUUGACUGUAACAAGGGGUCUGCCCGUG